AGUGUUGCCAUUAAAACCGAAGAAGAAGAAUGCAAAUACAAAUACACGCCAUGUGAUAUGUGACGAGCCUCGUAAACGAAAGUUAAUGACUAGCUACUCUGGAAAAGGAAUGGUGUCUCAAGGAGCUUUUACUUGAGUAGAGCUCCAGGAUGUUGUGUGAAGUCUUGCUGUCAUCGCUAUGGUUCCUGUUUGUUAUCUUCUGGGUCGAGACAAUAGGUGUGUGGCUGUUUCUGUCCAUGUUCUACCAGGACCGGGUAUUUUACCAUUGGGGAGAUGGGGUAUUUUCAGAUGAUCCUGGGCAGAUGAUAUACACUUUAAGCAGAGAUGAUACUCGUAUGCAAACAGAGAUGCAGACCUGAGAUGGGAAAAGAUCAAGAAAUCUGCAAGGACUCUCAGUAGAGGGCUAGUGCUAUUAUGUGGUCAAAGAACAUAUGAUGAAAAGCCUCAAAAACUUGUGCACAGUCCUUGUUAGGUAAAUGUAAACCCACUUGUAAUGAUAGGUGGUGGAGAGGUGCAGCAUGAGUUAAGGUAUAAGAUGUAGAGGGAGGUUAUCAAUGAAUGGUGUGUAUCAUAACCACUAAUGCAACAUUCAGAGUUUAGCUUUAUUUUGGAGAAGCUGAAUGAAUUCACUUCAGUGCUUCUUUCUUGUAUUCUCAUAAAAUCCAUUAUAAGCUGUGCACUGGUAGGGUGUUUUGAUCAUUCUGCCAUUCUAUGCAACUACACUUUUGCUGUCUGCAGCUGUUUCUGUGUUAGAUUGCAGGAAAUAAUAAUCACCUUUAUUGGCCAAGUAUGUUACACACACACAAGG
Molecule: long non-coding RNA, 808 nt
Organism: Monopterus albus (swamp eel)
Lineage: Eukaryota; Metazoa; Chordata; Actinopteri; Synbranchiformes; Synbranchidae
Exons: 4
Source: RefSeq, a predicted model, not a curated record